UUAGGAUUUUUUCUCAUUUUUCUUCCAAAAGAACACAUACUUCUCAUUUUUCUUUCUAAAUUACUCUUUUUAUUUUCUAAUUAAAAUUAUGAUAAUUAAUCCCUUUUAUUCCCAUUAAUUCCCCUUAAUAAUAUUCAGAUUUUUUUUUAUUUCUUUGACUUCCUCCACUAACUUUUACUUUUCCAAUUACCUUUUUUCACUAACUCUACUUAAACUUUAGUUUUUCUAAUUAAUUGUCAUAAUUCUCAUCCUUGAUAUUAAC
This 262-nucleotide long non-coding RNA is filed under the name Lathyrus oleraceus (garden pea). Its description in RNAcentral is "Pisum sativum (pea) long non-coding RNA (PSAT_LNC039589)". The record is from RNAcentral. Lineage: Eukaryota; Viridiplantae; Streptophyta; Magnoliopsida; Fabales; Fabaceae.